Molecule: long non-coding RNA, 1057 nt
Organism: Grus americana (Whooping crane)
Lineage: Eukaryota; Metazoa; Chordata; Aves; Gruiformes; Gruidae
Exons: 3
Source: RefSeq, a predicted model, not a curated record
UGAGCGCCACGGCCGUGCCGUGCCGUGCAGAUCCGCGCGGGGCCCACACACCAGGGGCCCGACCGCCAUUUUCUGUCCCCUCGUCCCGCACUCGGGAGCGUCUGGGAGCGGAGCCAUCCACCCGGGUCAGCCCGAGACAUCCCAUGCUUUCUUAGGCAAUCUUCUGCAAAUGUGGACCCGGACCUUCUGCCUUUGUUGCCCAGCCUCCCACGUGCUGGUGAGAUUCCAGCCAAUCCCCACCCACGCAAUGCUAAACCUGUCGGUCAAUGGUUGAUGAGUAACAGUCGCUCUUUCUCUACCCGGAGACAUUGGAUGGCAAGCCUUAAAUCCCUCCCAUCUUAAUCUGUGAAGCACAGCCACAGAAGAACUCCCUGCAAUGUGUCUUGAAUGCAAAGGCAGGAUGAAGAGCUGGAAAAACAUGCCUGUUUCUCCUUCUGCUGAAAGAAGGACCUCGGGGAGAUCUAAGACCUCUUGCUCUGCCCUGUCAAAAAGUGGGCAGACAGAACAUAGAUUAUACAGAGUGUGAAGAAAGCUGCACAUCUUUCAAAUGUUCACAGAAAUGUUCCUGGAGGCCCAAGGAAGGAUUGUCCUACCCAGGAUGCAAAGAUGCUCAGGAAAGCAAAGACAAAUAACAAAGGGUAUGAAGUUGAUAUGCUUAAAGUGCUUUCAAAUCUAGUAGUGAAUUAAAUUACCUCAGAUUAAGGCACUUUCCUUCUGAAGAACAGUUGAAACCAAAUUCAGUUAUGUUCAUUGACAUCACAGCUCGGGUUGAUCCCUUUUAUCUUUCCUGCAUGUCCCACAGAUGGUGUGUCCCUCAUGGUGUGGGUAUGGAUGCACCCAGACUCUCUCUGUCUGUUCUAGCCCCAGAUCUGGAAGUGGGAAAGUACAUUGGAGAAGUAUUGACACUGGUUGAAUGUGAGCCAGUGUGGGUCCGGAUGGAGUUUAACUGGACUAUCUUGGCACAGUGCCCAAGUGCCCUGAAACACUGGAGUGGUACCUCUGAAAAAGGUGGUGUAUGUCUCAUCAAAAAUAAAGAAAUUUUGCUUUUGUCUGUCAA